Molecule: ribosomal RNA, 395 nt
Filed under: uncultured bacterium
Lineage: Bacteria
Description: partial 16S ribosomal RNA
Rfam family: Bacterial small subunit ribosomal RNA
Source: RNAcentral
AAUAUUGCACAAUGGGUGAAACCCUGAUGCAGCGACGCCGCUUGAGCUAAUAAUGCCUUCUUGUCGUAAAGCUCUUUCCUAAGGGAAGAAACGGACGGUACCUUAUUAGGAAGCCCCGGCUAACUACGUGCCAGCAGCCGCGGUAAUACGUAGGGGGCGAGCGUUAUCCGGAAUUACUGGGCGUAAAGGGUGCGUAGGCGGCCUUUUAAGUCAGAUGUGAAAGGCUACGGCUUAACCGUAGUUAGCAUUUGAACCUAAAAGGCUUGAGUGCAGGAGAGGAGAGUGGAAUUCCUAGUGUAGCGGUGAAAUGCGUAGAUAUUAGGAGGAACACAAGUGGCGAAGGCGACUCUCUGGACUGCAACUGACGCUGAGGCACGAAAGCGUGGGGAGCGAAC